CUUCCUCAAUUUAAAUUCUCUAUUGUGUUGUGCAAAGAAUUUGUUUAGUAGUAGUUUAAACAGAACCUUGUACUAUUAUAAUAUUAAAUUAUUAUAGUAUUAAAAAUACACAACCAUGAGUUUGUAGCUGCUCACUGUAUCACUACCUCGUUUUUUCAAAGGACUGACAGACUGACACUGAAAAUCUUGGAUGUUAAAUGUAAAGUCUUGAAGCUAAACCUUCAAUGACCACAGCAGGAAUCUGAAAAGUCAUGGAAAGACGGAAUGACAAAGACGGAAUUUUCUUUUUUCAAAUUUUUGUGGAAUCACUUCCACUGAAGGACAGCACGGGACUUCUCGGGCAUGCCAGUCACUGGGCUCAACAAUCCAGGUGCUACCAUGGCCAGAAGCCGUAUCUUCUUCUCCGGUGGAGGAUACCGGGCUGAAUGGAGAAGUGGAUGACGGUGUAACUCAGCUCUCUGUGCAGUGUGUCACCGACCCUACCGGACUGAAUGGAAGAGUAGUGUAUGAUGGCGAGGAAUACAGCCUCCGUCCUGUGCAGCAUGUCACCUACCCUACUGGAUUGGAGGAAGUCAUUGUUGAUGAAGAAGAUCACAACCUCCGUCCUUCAAGACCUCAAGCCUCGUCUUUGGCUCGUUCUGGGACUCACGGAGCAAGUGCACCAUGGCGGGAGGCACUCAAUCCUAGGCUCGUGGUGAAAUGGCUGCUGCAGUGGCUGCUAAAGGAACUCAUUAUAAAGCUGGUGUAUGUUUGCGUACCGUGGCUCCCGAGUUUGCUGCAAGAUGCAUUAGAUUACGUUGUGGAUUUUUUCUUGUCAAAGUUAUUCCAAUGGCUUUAGUCCAUGAUCCAGUAGUGUGAGAGGGUCAGCCUUCACUACCUUCGCUACCUCACCCCAAUUCUUUGGAUCAAUUCAACGGUUUGUUUUACUCCUAUAUUACGAGUGUUUUAUAUGUAUGGUUGUUUAUUUG
Molecule: long non-coding RNA, 968 nt
Organism: Solea senegalensis (Senegalese sole)
Lineage: Eukaryota; Metazoa; Chordata; Actinopteri; Pleuronectiformes; Soleidae
Exons: 7
Source: RefSeq, a predicted model, not a curated record